Vulpes vulpes (red fox) is the source of this 1925-nucleotide long non-coding RNA. Lineage: Eukaryota; Metazoa; Chordata; Mammalia; Carnivora; Canidae. The record is from Ensembl.
CCAGCGGCCAGUACACGGCGCCCGUCGCCGGCUUCUACGCGCUCUCCGCCACGCUGCACGCGGGUGAGGCCCGGGGCGGCGGGGGUGGGGGGGGCUGCACCCCAGGCGCGGCCGUGACCGCCCCCCUCCUCCGCAGCGCUCGCGGAGCAGCCCAGGCGGGGGCCGCCGCGCCCCCGGGACCGCCUGCGCCUGCUCAUCUGCAUCCAGUCCCGGUGCCAGCGCAACGCCUCCCUGGAGGCUGUCAUGGGCCUGGAGAGCAGCAGUGAGCUCUUCACCAUCUCGGUAAAUGGCGUUCUGUACCUGCAGACAGGACAGUACACCUCCGUGUUCCUGGACAACGCCAGUGGCUCCCCACUCACGGUGCGCAGUGGCUCCCACUUCAGCGCUGUCCUCCUCGGCGUGUGAGCGGCCAGGCCAGGCCCUUCCUCUCGCGGCCAACAGAAGUGGGGGCCGAACAGUGGGCAGCGUGGAGUGGCGGAGGCCACACGCAGGAGGCGGCCCACUGGAACUGCCCACCGUGGCCACUGCACUUCAGCCGGAGACGGCCAACCACCGCAGCCCAGAGAGGGGACGUGCAAACUGUCCCAGAACAGGAGCAAUUGCAGGAUGGCGUCUUCCAAAAGGAGAAGAGCCCUGUUGGGCUGUCCCUCGGCACACGUCGCUGGUGGGGCUCGGCGCCAGGAGUACUUGCUCUGUUCCUGGCUGCGGGCCGGCUCCCCUCUGGCCUGCAGGGCGCCUGCCCAGCCAGCCUCUGCCUCUGCCUCGGCCCAGCCCCAUCCUUCCCAUCGUUUUUAGUGUUGUGGGCGCCAGCACGCCAGCAGGAGGGGAGAGGCUGGUCACCUGCCCGGACGCCCCAUGGGGCAGGGGUCCCGGUCCCCACCCACCCUUCCCCCAGGGUGCCUUUGGCCUGGACCUCUUGCAGUGACCACAGGACUGGAGUCUCACGGCCUCUUGGCACAGCAGCCUCAGGCACCAGAGCAACACUAGAAAGGGGCUUAUGGGGGGACGGUGAGGAUUAACAUGCUCAAGAUAACUCGUAAGUUCACCUCACAGAUGGCCUUUUCAGAGCCCACCCCCCUCCCCAAGCCUGUCCUAGAGUGGUCCCUCUUCCCAUCCCCUCUGAGGCUCUGACUCACUGCGGGGAUCCACCCACCAAAGGAAAUAUCUAGAAUAUCUUUGCAGAUCAGAGAUGAGCAGGCCCUGCCCACCCAUCUGAACAGAUAAAGCAGAGGCUUCCCGGGAGCCAAGAGCUCCCGUUGCCCACCCCAGGCCCCGCAGAGUCCAGCCAGCUCUGCAUCUUCCCCACUGGGGGAGACACGAGGCCCUGAGCUCAGGUGGAGAGGGGACAGAUGGGAGAUGAUGCUGAGGAAGCUGGGUCCUGAGUCCACUGUGCUGCUCUGGCGGUGACAGGGCCUGGGGGGUAGGGGGCGGCUGUGAGGAGACACGGGCAUUCACCUACAGCAGGUUCCUUCCAAGGUGUGAGGCCCCUCACCCCCUGCAGAGGAAGCUGCCCCCACCGCUUCCCCAAACACGGCAGCCUUGCACACCGUGGCUGCAGGGACCAGGUACCAUGGGGUGCCCUGGGGGCCAGGCUGGUCUGACAGGUGUCCAGGCCUGGAGAGAGGACAAUGGCUGCAGUCACCUGGACUGUCCAGCUGGCCUCAGGAGGAACAGGUGACCCAGCCAGGUCUGAGGGACCCCCAGCGCCCGCAGCUUCCCUCCCCACUGAGAACCCAGCCCUUCCGGCCAGGGGGCCCCGGGCGCCCUACACGUAGAACAGCCACGGGGUGCCCUUGGCAGGCCCGGUGCGAUUCUCAGUAGGGCUGGUACCCACCCUACCAGGAAGCGCUGGCCUGUGUCCUGCCUCCCCUCGCACUCUGAUAAGGGCUGGGGCCACACCCUUCUCUGGAUUUUACUCUGCACCC